This 504-nucleotide ribosomal RNA is filed under the name uncultured bacterium. RNAcentral's name for it is "partial 16S ribosomal RNA". It matches the Rfam family "Bacterial small subunit ribosomal RNA", at positions 30 to 523 of the family's 1533-position model. The record is from RNAcentral.
AUUGAACGCUGGCGGCAUGCCUUACACAUGCAAGUCGAACGGCAGCAUGGAGAGCUUGCUCUCUGAUGGCGAGUGGCGAACGGGUGAGUAAUGCAUCGGAACGUACCGUGUAAGUGGGGAUACCGGAGCGAAAGUUACGCUAAUACCUCAUACGGCCGGAGGGUGAAAGCAGGGGAUCGCACUACCUUGCGUUAGACGAGGUGGCGAUGUCAGAUUAGCUAGUUGGUGAGGUAAAGGCUCACCAAGGCGACGAUCUGUAGCGGGUCUGAGAGGAUGAUCCGCCACACUGGGACUGAGACACGGCCCAGACUCCUACGGGAGGCAGCAGUGGGGAAUUUUGGACAAUGGGGGCGACCCUGAUCCAGCCAUGCCGCGUGAGUGAAGAAGGCCUUCGGGUUGUAAAGCUCUUUCGGCCGGGAAGAAAUCGCACAGGCUAAUACUCUGUGUGGAUGAUGGUACCGGCAUAAGAAGCACCGGCUAACUACGUGCCAGCCGCCGCAGUAA